Non-coding RNA from Podarcis lilfordi (Lilford's wall lizard), 70 nucleotides. Lineage: Eukaryota; Metazoa; Chordata; Lepidosauria; Squamata; Lacertidae. The record is from the annotation of a GenBank genome assembly.
GCUGUAGCUCAGUGGCAGAGCAUCUGCUUUGCACUCAAGAAGAUCUCACAUUCAAUCCCUGGCAUCUCCA